CAGCCGCCGCGGUAAUACGAAGGGGGCUAGCGUUGCUCGGAAUGACUGGGCGUAAAGGGCGCGUAGGCGGUUUUCCAAGUUAGAUGUGAAAUUCCUGGGCUCAACCUGGGGGCUGCAUUUGAUACUGGGAGGCUUGAGUAUGGAAGAGGGUCGUGGAAUUCCCAGUGUAGAGGUGAAAUUCGUAGAUAUUGGGAAGAACACCGGUGGCGAAGGCGGCGACCUGGUCCAUAACUGACGCUGAGGCGCGAAAGCGUGGGGAGCAAACAGGAUUAGAUACCCCCGUAGUCCCUGUCUCUUAUAC
RNAcentral lists this ribosomal RNA (301 nucleotides) under uncultured bacterium. RNAcentral's name for it is "partial 16S ribosomal RNA". It matches the Rfam family "Bacterial small subunit ribosomal RNA", at positions 509 to 807 of the family's 1533-position model. The record is from RNAcentral.